GGUUAAGUCAGGCAACGAGCGAGAUCCGCACCUUUAUUUGCCACCAAGAAGUCACGACUUCGUUGGGAACACUAAAGGGACCGCCGUCGAUAAGACGGAGGAAGGAGCGGGCAAAGGCAGGUCAGUAUGCCCCGAAACCCCUGGGCUACACGCGGGCUGCAAUGGUAUGAACAAUGGGCUGUGACUCCGAAAGGAGAAACCAAUCCCGAAAUCAUAUCUCAGUUGGAAUUGUCGGCUGUAACCCGCCGACAUGAACGCGGAAUCCCUAGUAAUCGUGUGUCAUCAUCGCACGGUGAAUACGUCCCUGCUCCUUGCACAAA
RNAcentral lists this ribosomal RNA (320 nucleotides) under uncultured archaeon. Its description in RNAcentral is "bacterial SSU rRNA". It matches the Rfam family "Archaeal small subunit ribosomal RNA", at positions 1027 to 1345 of the family's 1478-position model. The record is from RNAcentral.